CCGCCAAAACGAACAAAUUCCACAGGGAUUACUUGAUUACAGACAUUCUACUGAUACAGGUGUGCUGGGAGCACCCCUUUCUUGAUCAUCCUCUCUCUCACGUCGUAGAUCCUAAUCGGCUCCACAAGAUCAUCCUCGGCGACAUUGGCAACCCCAUAAUCCGUGAUCAUUCUCCGCUGCACUGCCUCCUCGAUCACGGCUGGAGUCCACUCGUCCACUUUGGCAGCAGCCUCAAGGAAGCCAUCUUCGACGACGUAGAGCGCUUGGAGGAUUCGCUUCUGCCCGUUCCAAUCCACAGGUGUAAACGCCUGAAUCAGACCAUACUCAUCCGGUCCCGUGACGCGAGUCGUCUCCUUCGUAUCCAUCCCU
RNAcentral lists this long non-coding RNA (369 nucleotides) under Selaginella moellendorffii. RNAcentral describes it as "long non-coding RNA (SMOE_LNC001936)". Lineage: Eukaryota; Viridiplantae; Streptophyta; Lycopodiopsida; Selaginellales; Selaginellaceae. The record is from RNAcentral.